UACGGAGGGUGCGAGCGUUAAUCGGAAUUACUGGGCGUAAAGCGUACGCAGGCGGUUGAUUAAGCGAGAUGUGAAAUCCCUAGGCUCAACCUAGGAACUGCAUUUCGAACUGGUCAACUAGAGUAUGAGAGAGGGUGGUAGAAUUUCAGGUGUAGCGGUGAAAUGCGUAGAGAUCUGAAGGAAUACCGAUGGCGAAGGCAGCCACCUGGUUCAAUACUGACGCUCAUGUACGAAAGCGUGGGGAGCAAACAGG
This 253-nucleotide ribosomal RNA is filed under the name uncultured bacterium. RNAcentral describes it as "partial 16S ribosomal RNA". It matches the Rfam family "Bacterial small subunit ribosomal RNA", at positions 524 to 776 of the family's 1533-position model. The record is from RNAcentral.